AGGAUGACAAGAAUGAAAUAUUGUUUUAGGCUACUCAACAGCAUCCGUCACUCAAGCUCCUCCCCUGGCUUCAGAAAACAAUGAGUCAAUAUGACCUUUUUCUGACACUACCGCCUUAGGAAAAUACUGCUCCACAUAUUUGGAACUGGGGCUCUUCCUGUAUUUAAAUCAAUGGAAGCUAUUCAAAGCCUACGUAGCUUUCUCUUUUUGAAUAGUGGGCAUAGGAGCGCAACGGUUUGUACUCAAAUAAUGAAAGUAAAAUGGAAACCGUGAAUGACAAAAAAUCAAAGUGUUUUCUUACAUCAUCCCAGGUGCUCGACAUGCGUUUUAUUGCUAGAUUCCCUCGGUAACCUCUAAGAGGUUGAUAUUACGAUCCCUAAUUUUACCAAAAGUAAGAGAGGUUAGAGAAGUUUCCCUGUGGACACAGAGUUGGUAAGUGGCCAGGCUGGAAGUCAGAUAAGAAAGUAAAAAGUCAUUGCCUGACUUUAUCAGCAGUUGUUAUUACUGUUAUUCAAUCUAUUCUUAUCCUACUGCUUAAGAUUUAAAUGAAAAACCUCCCAUAUUCCUUUUAAUAUAAUUUUAUAUAAAUGUGAUCAUUUUGUUUCAUAAUCUGCUUUGUAUCACUAAAUAAUUUUCCACCUCACAUAUAAAGCUCUGCAUUGUCAUUUUUAUUGACUACACAGGAUUUCCUGGAAGGUAUUUACUGUAAUUGACUACGCCAGUCCUUUGCUAAUGAACGUUGAGGUCGUUUCUAGUUUUCCCUCUGAAUAUGCUUUUGCAAGCAUAUUUUUACACUCACGUAGUUAUCUCCUUAGGGUAAGUCCUACCCUGGGAAUUGUUGGGCAGAGACUAUACAUUUUACAUUUCAGUACAUACCCAAUGGCCCUGCAAAAGGUUGUAUCAGGUAGCUGCAGGAGUGUGCCGAUUUCCUCACACUCACAGGCACACCAGGCUUAACCAACCGUCUACAUUCCUACCAAAAUGAUAGGGGUUAAUGAUAGUAUUGUUAUUUAUAUUUGCGUUUCUUUCAUCAUUAGGGAAAACAGAGUUUUUCCCUGUGUAUUGGUCAUUUGCAAUUCUUCCAGACUUUAUCUCUAUCUUUUUUAUGCUUUCCCAUUAGGGUCUGACUCCAAAAUUCAUUGCAAAUGCUGUCUCCUGCCUCUUGCUGCUUUCUCAUUGUCAGUGCAGUGUAUCAGAGACUCUGAUCUGUAGCCAAGAGAACUUCAGCGACAUAUUGCCAGGGUGAUUAGUCAAGUUCCAUAAAACAUGUUCCAAGAAGAAAAACUGGUUGAGUCUAAGGAAUAGAACAGCCAUAAACUUCUCCUCAGCUGUCUGCUUCAGAAACAGGUCAUCCCCUGACUUUAUCAGCAGUUGUUUAUCUUAUAAGAAACAAUGAUCCAUUCAAACUUAAUCUUGUCCUUUUGCACAGAGAAAUUUGGAUCAGAGAAGAGGGACCAAGAACUGUUUGGAGGAACAUCCCCAGAACUGGGGGGUUGCCAGGGAGGGAGGACACACACACACAAACACACACACACACACAAACACAAACACAGUUCCAUGCCCCCGGCAGAGGCAGACCACAGACUCAUGGAUUAUUUGCACUGAAACCCAGGUUCGAGAUGCCGUUGCUCCAAGAAAACUGAGACUCAUAGACAAAGUGACGUGUCUGAAAUGAUAGUCCCUUGACUCCCCAAGCAGAGCCCAUUCCACGAGAUGACACUGGCAGGAAGUAAAGCACAGCCCAAGUUGAGUCCCCAGAGCCUAAAACACUGACUCUGCCUCUCACAGUGCCAGGAAAAUGUUGAAAGGCAUUAUGACAAGUACCAUCACCCGAGGCCCAGGAACUUGUGCACUGGACCCCAAGCUCAGCCAGCAUCUUGGCUGCUAGGGCUGGGCAGGGUUCUGAGCGGCUGUGGCCAGAGGGCUACAGGGACAAUAUUAGGCUGCCUUCUUGUUCCUUUACUUAAGAAAGAAUAUAACCAAAUACAGACAGCAAAACAGGGCUGAUGUCCAGCUCUUAUGGUAUCCAGCUUUUUUUCUUACAAAUAUCAUUUGUAUAAUUAGCUUAGUUUGUUCAAUCUUAUCUAUUCAGCUUCAGCCAAAUCCAAGCUCUAAGCCAAAGACAACCAAGCCUGGCCAUGUAGCGAUCCUAUCCUUCCAGAUGGGCUUCUGCCUCAGCCCAGCCCAAAUGUGACCAAAAUCUCUGAUAGGAGAACUGGACAUGGGCUACCCUCUCUCAUCUCACCUGCAGAAAAAUGCAUGGGUCAGUGGCCAACAUUCAUUUCACUGAGGUGACCAAAGACAGGCAGCCAGCCAGCUCUCCAGUGGCAUUUGUUCCCUCUUUAUGGCACUCAUGCUGGUCCCAUUUACCAAAUGCAAUGAAGGCUAUAUUCCACCCAACACAGAUCCUUGGUGGGGCGUAGAAAGGAAGCCUCCUCUGUCUUUCUCAAUUCAAAGGCAUUUUUCUUAACUCUUUAGCUACGUUGUGGCCUAACAGAAUAAACAGUUCAUGUUAAGACUUAGGGAACAACUGGAUAAGCAUAUUUGGGAAUACAGCCUAGGAUUCAGUAGUGAGGACUGUCUUGUGCCAGGAGACCCUCAUGCCUUAUACCGUCUAAUCCUCACAACAACGUUCUAAGGUGGGUUUUUUAAUCUGCACUUGAUACAUAAGGAAACAGAGGAAACAUUUGGCUCAGUUGAUUCUUCUGCAGAAUUUUGGGAACUUCCACUGUGACUUUAAGCAGCUCUUCCACAGACCAAGGGGAAAGAAUGGAGGAGUCUGUCCCGAACGUUGACCUGUCCUGAAGGUUCACUCCUGAUUGCUGGACCACCUGGCUCCCCUCAGCUUCCUCCCCGGGAAAAAAGCGAUCCCAUGCUGCUGGCUUUCUUUGGGAAUAAGAUGUUUCUCGCAACAGAAAAUUCUUUCCAAAACUUUAUGCUUAUUUUAGGAGAGUUGUGUGGAUUCCCAGUCAUCUUCGCACAGGAAGUCUGAUACCCGUGAAGCAAGGAUAGACUCAUCAAGCAAAUUUCAACAACUCUAUUGGUCGUUAAAGACUCAGAAAAUAAACAAAGAAUCAGAGAGGAAAAGUUACACUGGUCCAGAACAUUUGUUUUGGGUCAUGAAAACAUGAGUUUUCAGCAGAAAUUUGCUAAUCCCUGUGGUAUAUUUCUCUCAUCCACUGUGGAGCUUUCCUAUCAGCUCUCAUGAUUCCAGGGGUCUUUAUUCGCCGGCUCUGAAGGUUUCACUACAUGCAAUUGGGUUUUGUUUCUUGCAACAUUUGUUCAAUUUAGAUUAGCAUUUUUGCUUUUUUUCUUUUUUCUCCAAAAAUGAUCCAAAGAAACUAACACCUGAUUCCAAGGAUGAAAGCAAUACCACUUGGAAAUAUUUAAGAUCUGCUUAUAAUCCACCUUACACAAUACCACAUUGGGAAAAAUACCUAAUUCCAUAGAACAUCCAAAAGGAUAUCUGACUUGGUACUAAGCACCUACAUGGAAAUCAACAAAUACACAUUAACUCAUGUAUAUUCAUCAGGAUAAUAAUGGUAAUAAUAACAGGCAUUUGCAAGGAACUUUGCUUCAAAAGAUUUUCACAAAUGUCUUUUUAAAUGAACCUCAGAAUCUCAUGGAGAGCUGAGAAGGGGCUGUGUGAACCUACAUAUCCUGGCUUUGCCACUUGUUUGCUGUGUGACCUGGGCCAGGUUACUGAAGUGAUCUGAGCCUCAGCUUUCUCAACUGUAAAACCUGAAUGAUAAUGAUAGCUUCCUUGCAGAGUUGAUGAGAGACUUCAAGAUAACAUAUGCCAAAGGCACAACAGAGUAUCUGGCACAUGGCAGGCAUUUAGAAGUGGAAAUUAUUAUUAUUAUAAAGCAGGGCUGAUGUAAUUAUCCCCUCUUACAGUUGAGGCAACUGAGGCUGAAAGAGAUUAAAUGAUUUGACCAGUCACGUCAGCCGCAGGGCCAGAGCUGGGACCAGAACCCAGCUCUUCAACCUGCCAAGGGAAAAAGUUCUCUGUUCUGUUUCAAGACCUGAAGUGUGAAAAGCAGAAAUAUUGCCAAAACAGGGGUGUUGAUCUCUGAAUCUUGAAAAUAGCUGAUCCAUGCUUUCAGCAGCAAAGAAGGCAAUUAAAAUAAAACUCUGUCUCCAUGCUAGUGUUCUCAACAGGAAACAAAUCUAAUUCAAGAGAAUUUCUCCUCUCAUUUCAAUUCAGACAAAAUUUUCUAAGGAUUUGAUGAGUUUUAUCUUGACCAUCAUCUUUUUCCUAACCUACUUUCAAAAAUGUACGAAUCCCAACUUUUGGUGUGGGUCACCUGGUCUUCAAUUAAAGUGAAUAUAAUUUCUGAACAAAACAGACCCAAAAGUAAGAGAAGCUUGCCGCCUGUGGAAUGCUGCUGGAGGUCACCUUGUUUAAAUACCAUUUAACAUAUGCACCUCAUCCCUCGCCAGCAGUAAUAAGGGUCAUUUGUGGACCUUUCUGUGGUCUCUGAUACCUGACAGGUAGAACUUUUUAUCUGCUCUUUUUCUUUUCUAGAACUGAUCAGUUCUACAAUACAGUAGGGAUGUCUUCUUCUUGGAACUUCUUUAUAAUAAGUUCCUAUACUCAGCAUUAUUGACGAUAAUUUGAGAUCUGCCUCCUAAGGUUAGAAAAUUUUCAGAAACUUACAGGGACAAAAAUUGACGGUGCUCUCUGCAGUGAGCCUAAUGGAGCUUCUGUGAAAUUGCUGCAAUAAGCUAGUGGAGUAUCUCUCACACUUCUCUAUCUUUUUGAUGAUGUAGGUAGAAUGUCUGGAGUACAGACAGCCAUACCAGCAUCAAUAUAAACCCUAGUGAAUAAAGUGGAGAGAAAGAGAGUUAGAGAAUCCAGGACACUCCCUCCUCGACUUUUUGAUGGAAAGCAUGCCAUGACCUAUAGACAGCACACUCUACUUGCUAAAAGAAUAUCAAGGUUAUAAAUACUUACUUGACACCCUACCCAGUGCAUAAUUUAGCCAACAACUGCUCCAAGUUGUUAGUAAAUUCUCCUUCCAUUUCUUUAUCCUUGGUUUUAUUUUCUUUGCCUUUAUUUUGUCGUUUUGCUUUUUUAUCUCUUCGUUUCUUUGGUAUUCCUCGCAUUCAUUUCUAUUCCUUCCUUUAUCCGUCUGUUCUUUACUAUAGGAAAGUACUUUCAGAAGAAUCAAGCACUAUAGAAAUGUCAAGUUGUUGGAUCAUUAUUACUCUUAACAUCUUUAUUAUUUAUGUCAAGACAUUAUUGUCUUUUGCAUUCUCACCAUUGUAUCUACAACUUGUUCCUCCAACUUUUAUCUUAUCCGGUCUUCUACAGAUUUUUCAGAAUAUGGAGCAUAAACAUUAGUAAUAGAAGCAAACUCAAAUAUCUUUCUAUUCAGGUUUUUGUUUGCUCUGGAGGUACCUAGUGAGUUAGGCAACAUUCAGUAAACACCAUUUGCAGAUACAAUUAUUGUACUGAAACUACAGAGGCAAUUCCAAAGAUAUGAAAGACAUGUUCCUUGAUCUUAGUAAGCUUAGAGCCGAGUCGGAGUGACAAGACACGCCAUGAGCAAUGACAGGGACAUCUAUAAGAUGUGCAGGUAACUGAAGUUCACACAGAGGACCAUGUUUGAGUUGGCCAGGUAGAGGUGACAACGUAAGGUUUUCUGAGGGUGAAUUUCAAGAGGGAAAAGAAAGAUGAGGCAUCUAGAGGAAUGAGGGCAGUCUGUCUACCCUACCUAGGUUGUUUAAUCAUUUUCUAUAGCCUUUUGCAGUCUCCUAGGGAUUAUCCCGUUUUCUGGUGCCUUUCUUACUUCCGUUCUGAAUAUAUUAUCAUUAGCUAUUUAGGAACUAAGAAAGCUCUAAUACGUCUUACUUUAUACAAUUUUUUGUUGUUUCGUUUUGUUUUGUUUUUACUUCCGUGAUCUUGCAUAUUACUUUUAUAUAACUACAGCCUGCUUCUCUAGUUCUUUCAAGUUCUUCAGGUCUUUUCAGGUAUUAUUUUUAGCAUGGCGUGUCAAAGGCAACAUUUAUUUCAAAAGAUUUCUGUGGCAUCUGUUGUUCAAGGUAUGUGGUAUAGCACAGCAGCCUUGAGACUUUAUUCCAGCCCUCGCCACACUCUAUUUUGUCCCUCAGGCAAUUUCAUUCUUUCUGCAAAAAAGAUCAGGUUACAAACAGCCUCCUCCACGCUCAAAUGGGGACGCCAAAGGAGGAUGAUCCAAAUACAGUCUGAAUCUGUUAGACAGUUGAUCAACUUCAAUAAGCUCCAAGCCUGGAAUGGAAUCGCUUUCACUAUCUUUUCCAGCAGGCUGCAUCUUCUUUUUCAAAUUUAUCUGACAUUAAAGUUGACGCAGUGACAUUUUAUUUGAAAGUUAAAAUUCAUCAUGGUAAGAAUAAAAGAGGGGAUGCUUUUAAACGAGAAGCCAGACCCCCAAUACCACAAGAGUUCCUGUCUAAUCGUGCUCUUAAUACCUGAUAGGGGUUGAAACAUGGGCUGCAAACUGGAGCGCUCCCCUACUCUGGCCCUCCCCACACAAAAGCGUAAAGUGCGUCACCAGUCGGCUUCUAGGAAACCUGUGUUCUGUUCCAAAACAAAGGAUGCAAUGUCGGAUUCAAAUGCCUAAAUGAGAUUAAUAUCAAUCUUACAUUUGCACAAAGCUGUGCUUGAUCGAUCAUUUCUGAAAGCUAACAUUUCUCGUGAAGGCGGCAUUUGAUAACUAGAAGGAGAAAACCAGAGGAAGUGUUGUCAAAUGGCUUAGAAAGUGGAAAGUGGGGCAGUGGGAGAAAAGAUCAACUUUUUCACAGUGUUUCCCAAAGGCCAUUCAUGGCAAGGGCCACUUACGGCAUUAGCACUGUUCAUCAGCCUCCACACACAGCAGGGCUCUCUCUCGGCUGUUUUGGCACAUUUUGGAAUUUUGUACAAUUUGCAUGCUUGUUUCCAAUCAAGUCAAUUUAAUAAAGUCCAAUUUUCAUGCAUGUGACUUUGGGUUUUAAGAAAAUAACAUGAGAGGAAAGCAUUUGUCUCACCAGCUAUCCCUUUCUCUACCCAGCUCUGCCUUUUGAAUAGAGAACGAAGAGCUCCGCAUCCCGGGCGGCAUUUCAAGGUUUCAUUCAUCAGGCAAGUUCUCAAGGCUCAAUGUUGAUGGAUAGAUCCGCCCUGGAGCCAACGUUAAAGCCAGACCUUAGAUUUAUGAAAAUAAACCAAAACAAGCGAUGAGACAUUUUGAAAUGUAGAAACUAAGAGGAAAGAACAAGACUUCCCUUAGGAUCUGGGGAGCCGGGGAAAUGCAAGUGUUACCAUCCUCAGUUCAACAACCAACAGAAAAACUCAUGUCACCUAAGUACAAGGUGUGAACUACUGCCAGACCCGCACCUGACUUUUUAGUUAUUCUCCUUGCAUGCAGUGAAUGACUCUCUUGGUCACAUCGUCCUAAAGUCUGUGACACAAAAGGAGACCUAUACGCUUGAAGAAUUGCACAGCGAUAUAUUUACUUAGCAUUCUUUAUUUCGCUAAUCAGGGUACACAAUUCUAUAGUAGAUGAGGUCUGUUCAGGCUUCUCAGCCCAGCCACCACUUCCCUUCCUCUCUGUCAGCAUCCUGCACCCUACAAUCUCCACCAGAAGAGCGAUGUGGGAUUGGGAAAAAGAAAGCACAAGAGACCUGAAGACAGAAGGCUGAGGAUUCAGUCUCAGCAUUGUGAUUAACUGAGUGAUUCUGGCCAAGUCACUACAAUUCACUGAAACCUCUCCCCUUCUGUAAAGUGGGGAUGACGAUAUCCACCUCACAGGAUGCAAUGAAGGAAGCAAUAAGAUAAUGAAAGUGAACAUAAUGUUUCAUUACAAAGAAAGAAAGAGGGAAAGAGGAGAGAGGAAGGGAGGCGAAACUGAAGAGACCUUCCUCCCUCACCCUUUCACACUAGCAGGUAAAGUAAAAUGUUCAGACAGGAAACCUAAAGUAGAUAAUCCAAAAUACAGUAUUCUUAGGAACUGUCAAUGGCAGAAGCCACUGCAAUCUCCAAAUCUGGUCAAGAGCUCAUUCUGAGCACCAUGUUUUGAACCCCCGAGUGCCUGGAACACUGCACUGAACCUCUGGGACUGACCUGCAGGAAAAGACCAAAAGCUUCCUCGUUUCACUCCCUUAGUAUAAAGACAGGAGCAGCUGAAGGACACACCUCAAGAGCAGGGUGAGACAGACACCCCAGACCGUGAACUUACU
Molecule: non-coding RNA, 8196 nt
Organism: Equus caballus (horse)
Lineage: Eukaryota; Metazoa; Chordata; Mammalia; Perissodactyla; Equidae
Source: RefSeq, a predicted model, not a curated record